UCCCUGGUGGCUCAGAAGGUAAAGAAUCUACCUGCAAUGUGGGAGACCUGGAUUCAAUCCCCAGCUUGGGAA
Molecule: non-coding RNA, 72 nt
Organism: Bos taurus (domestic cattle)
Lineage: Eukaryota; Metazoa; Chordata; Mammalia; Artiodactyla; Bovidae
Source: Rfam